UUUCUUCUUCGCUAUUCUCUGAUACAUUCUCUCAUACUUAAUCCAAAUCCAAUUAAGAGAAUUUCACUUCAAUCCUAUCAAUUCUUCUAUCUGGUCUUCCAUCAUCUGCAGGGUUUCCCAGAACAAACCUUGUCAUGACAUGGUUCCUCAGAUUGCUACUCAAUCUAUCGAAUGCAUCAAAUGCUUCAAACAGAUUACAAGAUCAACAUACCUCAACAUAAUCCAACUACUUGAUCGAGUUUCCAUUUGCAAUCACGAUAUUCGACACAUAGUCGAAGAACUCAUUUUCUCUC
RNAcentral lists this long non-coding RNA (293 nucleotides) under Ananas comosus (pineapple). Its description in RNAcentral is "long non-coding RNA (ACOM_LNC039223)". The record is from RNAcentral. Lineage: Eukaryota; Viridiplantae; Streptophyta; Magnoliopsida; Poales; Bromeliaceae.